AUAUCUACAUAACAAAUUUACUUAACAUUUUUAAAUGUAUUUUUCAGAUCCUCCAAUAACCGGUACAGGCUAUAGACAACUUUCCAUAAACUCAUGGAUUUCCGCAGGUCUCUUACUUGCUUGGCGACUGGCAUGAUCGGAGAUACUAUUCUACGCAUCAGAAAUGUAUUAGAAUCGUGUCAGUGACCAGGUUGCAGUUUGUGCGACGAAAUUUUUUUACUUUAAAUAAUAAAUAUUUAAGUAAAAUUAGCAACAUUUGCUGGUUUUUGAAUAGCUAAAAUACGUUUUUCACUGUGAAAUGGUUUAUAUAUUUUUAAUAAUCUUAUAAUCCACUGCAUCCUCAUCGCACUAAUCUCACAUACGAUUAAUAAAUCCUUUUUAAAGUAAUUUUAUAUAAUGUUAUCCAAAUUCAAUAAAUGAAAAGUUUAAUAAACUAUUUUCUUGCUUUUG
Octopus sinensis (East Asian common octopus) is the source of this 450-nucleotide long non-coding RNA. RefSeq lists it as uncharacterized. The record is from RefSeq and is a predicted model, not a curated record. The transcript has 2 exons. Lineage: Eukaryota; Metazoa; Mollusca; Cephalopoda; Octopoda; Octopodidae.